UAUUCCAAAAGCGGAGGAAAAGAAACCAACCGGGAUUGCCUUAGUAACGGCGAGUGAAGCGGCAAAAGCUCAAAUUUGAAAUCUGGCGUCUUCGACGUCCGAGUUGUAAUUUGAAGAAGGCGACUUUGUAGCUGGUCCUUGUCUAUGUUCCUUGGAACAGGACGUCAUAGAGGGUGAGAAUCCCGUGUGGCGAGGAUCCCAGUUAUUUGUAAAGUGCUUUCGACGAGUCGAGUUGUUUGGGAAUGCAGCUCUAAGUGGGUGGUAAAUUCCAUCUAAAGCUAAAUAUUGGCGAGAGACCGAUAGCGAACAAGUACAGUGAUGGAAAGAUGAAAAGAACUUUGAAAAGAGAGUGAAAAAGUACGUGAAAUUGUUGAAAGGGAAGGGCAUUUGAUCAGACAUGGCGUUUGCUUCGGCUUUCGCUGGGCCAGCAUCAGUUUUAGCGGUUGGAUAAAUCCUCGGGAAUGUGGCUCUGCUUCGGUAGAGUGUUAUAGCCCGUGGGAAUACAGCCAGCUGGGACUGAGGAUUGCGACUUUUGUCAAGGAUGCUGGCGUAAUGGUUAAAUGCCGCCCGUCUUGAACCACCGGACCA
This 588-nucleotide ribosomal RNA is filed under the name Kluyveromyces lactis. RNAcentral's name for it is "partial large subunit ribosomal RNA". It matches the Rfam family "Eukaryotic large subunit ribosomal RNA", at positions 41 to 668 of the family's 3401-position model. The record is from RNAcentral. Lineage: Eukaryota; Fungi; Ascomycota; Saccharomycetes; Saccharomycetales; Saccharomycetaceae.